CCUACGGGUGGCAGCAGUGGGGAAUAUUGGACAAUGGGCGAAAGCCUGAUCCAGCCAUGCCGCGUGUGUGAAGAAGGCCUUCGGGUUGUAAAGCACUUUCAGUGGGGAAGAAAGCCUUGGGGCUAAUACCCUCGAGGAAGGACAUCACCCACAGAAGAAGCACCGGCUAACUCCGUGCCAGCAGCCGCGGUACUACGGAGGGUGCGAGCGUUAAUCGGAAUUACUGGGCGUAAAGCGCGCGUAGGCGGUCUGAUAAGCCGGUUGUGAAAGCCCCGGGCUCAACCUGGGAACGGCAUCCGGAACUGUCAGGCUAGAGUGCAGGAGAGGAAGGUAGAAUUCCCGGUGUAGCGGUGAAAUGCGUAGAGAUCGGGAGGAAUACCAGUGGCGAAGGCGGCCUUCUGGACUGACACUGACGCUGAGGUGCGAAAGCGUGGGUAGCAAACAGGAUUAGAUACCCGGGUAGUC
Molecule: ribosomal RNA, 465 nt
Filed under: Vreelandella stevensii
Lineage: Bacteria; Pseudomonadati; Pseudomonadota; Gammaproteobacteria; Oceanospirillales; Halomonadaceae
Description: partial 16S ribosomal RNA
Rfam family: Bacterial small subunit ribosomal RNA
Source: RNAcentral